GACGAACGCUGGCGGCGUGCUUAACACAUGCAAGUCGAACGGAAAGGCCCUGCUUUUGUGGGGUGCUCGAGUGGCGAACGGGUGAGUAACACGUGAGUAACCUGCCCUUGACUUUGGGAUAACUUCAGGAAACUGGGGCUAAUACCGGAUAGGAGCUCCUGCUGCAUGGUGGGGGUUGGAAAGUUUCGGCGGUUGGGGAUGGACUCGCGGCGUAUCAGCUUGUUGGUGGGGUAGUGGCUUACCAAGGCUUUGACGGGUAGCCGGCCUGAGAGGGUGACCGGCCACAUUGGGACUGGGAUACGGCCCAGACUCCUACGGGAGGCAGCAGUGGGGAAUAUUGCACAAUGGGCGGAAGCCUGAUGCAGCAACGCCGCGUGCGGGAUGACGGCCUUCGGGUUGUAAACCGCUUUCGCCUGUGGCGAAGCGUGAGUGACGGUAAUGGGUAAAGAAGCACCGGCUAACUACGUG
RNAcentral lists this ribosomal RNA (468 nucleotides) under uncultured bacterium. Its description in RNAcentral is "partial 16S ribosomal RNA". It matches the Rfam family "Bacterial small subunit ribosomal RNA", at positions 28 to 507 of the family's 1533-position model. The record is from RNAcentral.